RNAcentral lists this ribosomal RNA (497 nucleotides) under uncultured bacterium. Its description in RNAcentral is "partial 16S ribosomal RNA". It matches the Rfam family "Bacterial small subunit ribosomal RNA", at positions 28 to 507 of the family's 1533-position model. The record is from RNAcentral.
GAUGAACGCUGGCGGCGUGCCUAAUACAUGCAAGUCGAGCGAACGGACGAGAAGCUUGCUUUUCUGAUGUUAGCGGCGGACGGGUGAGUAGCACGUGGAUAACCUACCUAUAAGACUUGGAGAACUUCGGGAAACCGGAGCUAAUACCGGAUAAUAUUUUGAACCGCAUGGUUCAAAAGUGAAAGACGGUCUUGCUGUCACUUAUAGAUGGAUCCGCGCUGCAUUAGCUAGUUGGUAAGGUAACGGCUUACCAAGGCAACGAUGCAUAGCCGACCUGAGAGGGUGAUCGGCGACCAUGGAGCUGAGACGCGGUCCAGACUCCUACGGGAGGAAGCAGUAGGGAAGCUUACGGAAUGGGCGAAAGCAUGACGGAGCAACGCCGCGUGAGUGAUGAAGGUCUUCGGAUCGUAAAACUCUGUUAUUAGGGAAGAACAUAUGUGUAAGUAACUGUGCACAGCUUGACGGUACCUAAACAGAAAGCCACGGCUAACUACGUG